RNAcentral lists this ribosomal RNA (1343 nucleotides) under uncultured bacterium. RNAcentral's name for it is "16S ribosomal RNA". It matches the Rfam family "Bacterial small subunit ribosomal RNA", at positions 28 to 1378 of the family's 1533-position model. The record is from RNAcentral.
GACGAACGCUGGCGGCGUGCUUAACACAUGCAAGUCGAACGGAAAGGCCCUGCUUUUGUGGGGUGCUCGAGUGGCGAACGGGUGAGUAACACGUGAGUAACCUGCCCUUGACUUUGGGAUAACUUCAGGAAACUGGGGCUAAUACCGGAUAGGAGCUCCUGCUGCAUGGUGGGGGUUGGAAAGUUUCGGCGGUUGGGGAUGGACUCGCGGCUUAUCAGCUUGUUGGUGGGGUAGUGGCUUACCAAGGCUUUGACGGGUAGCCGGCCUGAGAGGGUGACCGGCCACAUUGGGACUGAGAUACGGCCCAGACUCCUACGGGAGGCAGCAGUGGGGAAUAUUGCACAAUGGGCGGAAGCCUGAUGCAGCAACGCCGCGUGCGGGAUGACGGCCUUCGGGUUGUAAACCGCUUUCGCCUGUGACGAAGCGUGAGUGACGGUAAUGGGUAAAGAAGCACCGGCUAACUACGUGCCAGCAGCCGCGGUGAUACGUAGGGUGCGAGCGUUGUCCGGAUUUAUUGGGCGUAAAGGGCUCGUAGGUGGUUGAUCGCGUCGGAAGUGUAAUCUUGGGGCUUAACCCUGAGCGUGCUUUCGAUACGGGUUGACUUGAGGAAGGUAGGGGAGAAUGGAAUUCCUGGUGGAGCGGUGGAAUGCGCAGAUAUCAGGAGGAACACCAGUGGCGAAGGCGGUUCUCUGGGCCUUUCCUGACGCUGAGGAGCGAAAGCGUGGGGAGCGAACAGGCUUAGAUACCCUGGUAGUCCACGCUGUAAACGGUGGGUACUAGGUGUGGGGUCCAUUCCACGGGUUCCGUGCCGUAGCUAACGCUUUAAGUACCCCGCCUGGGGAGUACGGCCGCAAGGCUAAAACUCAAAGGAAUUGACGGGGCCCCGCACAAGCGGCGGAGCAUGCGGAUUAAUUCGAUGCAACGCGUAGAACCUUACCUGGGUUUGACAUGGAUCGGGAGUGCUCAGAGAUGGGUGUGCCUCUUUUGGGGUCGGUUCACAGGUGGUGCAUGCCUGUCGUCAGCUUGUGUCGUGAGAUGUUGGGUUAAGUCCCGCAACGAGCGCAACCCUUGUUCACUGUUGCCAGCACGUUAUGGUGGGGACUCAGUGGAGACCGCCGGGGUCAACUCGGAGGAAGGUGGGGAUGACGUCAAGUCAUCAUGCCCCUUAUGUCCAGGGCUUCACGCAUGCUACAAUGGCUGGUACAGAGAGUGGCGAGCCUGUGAGGGUGAGCGAAUCUCGGAAAGCCGGUCUCAGUUCGGAUUGGGGUCUGCAACUCGACCUCAUGAAGUCGGAGUCGCUAGUAAUCGCAGAUCAGCAACGCUGCGGUGAAAACGUUCCCGGG